GGGCCCGCACAAGCGGUGGAGCAUGUGGUUUAAUUCGAUGAUACGCGAGGAACCUUACCAGGGCUUAAAUGUAGUGGGACAGGUCUAGAGAUAGACCCUUCUUCGGACUCAUUACAAGGUGCUGCAUGGUUGUCGUCAGCUCGUGCCGUGAGGUGUCAGGUUAAGUCCUAUAACGAGCGCAACCCACGUCUUUAGUUGCCAGCGAGUAAUGUCGGGAACUCUAACGAAACUGCCAGUGCAAACUGUGAGGAAGGUGGGGAUGACGUCAAAUCAUCACGGCCCUUACGUCCUGGCUACACACGUGCUACAAUGGCCGGUACAGAGAGCAGCCACUUCGCAAGAAGGAG
Molecule: ribosomal RNA, 347 nt
Filed under: uncultured bacterium
Lineage: Bacteria
Description: bacterial SSU rRNA
Rfam family: Bacterial small subunit ribosomal RNA
Source: RNAcentral